This 671-nucleotide long non-coding RNA is filed under the name Equus caballus (horse). RNAcentral describes it as "lncRNA (ENSECAG00000052378.1)". Lineage: Eukaryota; Metazoa; Chordata; Mammalia; Perissodactyla; Equidae. The record is from RNAcentral.
CCAAGCUGACCAAAAUUGAACCAACUUUCUCUGUGGGAUUAUCCACGAGAAAACUGAGUGGAUUUGUGAGACACACAGAGAGACAGACGGAGAGAGAAAACGCACAAGAGGUGGGACUCGGCGAGACAGGCAAAGGCAGCCGCGCUUCUGGCACACUGCCUGACAGACACAGAUACAGGGACGGGCUCACAGUCUCCUCCUGUUUGGAGAAUGAAAUUCGCCACCCUGUAAAGGAAGACAAGAAAAUCCAGACUCUCUACAAAGUAUCAUUCACAAAGUCCAGCGUGCAACAGAAAGUGACUAGACAUGUGAAGAAACAGAAAAAUGUGACCCGUAAAAGCAAAUGAGCAGGUUUCCAGUAAGCCAUCAGAUAGCAAGAAAAAGUCAUCACAAACCAGAUACUUAAUGCCUACUCAUGCAGCCAAGACUCCAGAGAUGAAGUCUUUGCCAAAGGUUAUGCAGCUCGUCACCCAUGUCCAGACCUCUUUGACUUCAAAGGCUGUGCUCCCUCUGCCACACCAGACUGCCUCCAGAAGAACCAAGAGGGGACACGCACCUGGGGAAGUUUCGAGGUCCCUGUGAACUCAUAACUGAGAGUAUUCGUGACAUAAGCCUGGCGUAAUUGGAGGAUGUCUGGGAAAACAAAAAUACAUUAACGAGAAGUAGCAGGU